GAUGAACGCUAGCGGCAUGCCUUACACAUGCAAGUCGAACGGCAGCACGGGAGCAAUCCUGGUGGCGAGUGGCGAACGGGUGAGUAAUGUAUCGGAACGUACCUUUCAGUGGGGGAUAACGUAGCGAAAGUUACGCUAAUACCGCAUAUUCUGUGAGCAGGAAAGCAGGGGAUCGCAAGACCUUGCGCUGAUUGAGCGGCCGAUAUCAGAUUAGCUAGUUGGUGAGGUAAAGGCUCACCAAGGCGACGAUCUGUAGCGGGUCUGAGAGGAUGAUCCGCCACACUGGAACUGAGACACGGUCCAGACUCCUACGGGAGGCAGCAGUGGGGAAUUUUGGACAAUGGGGGCAGCCCUGAUCCAGCCAUGCCGCGUGAGUGAAGAAAGGCCUCGGUUGUAAGGUACGUACUUUCGUCCGGGUACGGAAAGUACGUAAGUUAC
Molecule: ribosomal RNA, 438 nt
Filed under: uncultured bacterium
Lineage: Bacteria
Description: bacterial SSU rRNA
Rfam family: Bacterial small subunit ribosomal RNA
Source: RNAcentral